UGGGGCGUCGACAAGUGGUAAGUCACCAGAUUUUGAUUCUGGCAUCCCUAGGUUCGAAUCCUAGCGCCCCAGCCA
Molecule: transfer RNA, 75 nt
Filed under: Deltaproteobacteria bacterium CG11_big_fil_rev_8_21_14_0_20_45_16
Lineage: Bacteria; Deltaproteobacteria
Description: tRNA-Gln
Rfam family: tRNA
About the family: Transfer RNA (tRNA) molecules are approximately 80 nucleotides in length. Their secondary structure includes four short double-helical elements and three loops (D, anti-codon, and T loops). Further hydrogen bonds mediate the characteristic L-shaped molecular structure. tRNAs have two regions of fundamental functional importance: the anti-codon, which is responsible for specific mRNA codon recognition, and the 3' end, to which the tRNAs corresponding amino acid is attached (by aminoacyl-tRNA synthetases). tRNAs cope with the degeneracy of the genetic code in two manners: having more than one tRNA (with a specific anti-codon) for a particular amino acid; and 'wobble' base-pairing, i.e. permitting non-standard base-pairing at the 3rd anti-codon position.
Source: RNAcentral